This is a long non-coding RNA of Melitaea cinxia (Glanville fritillary), 342 nucleotides long. RefSeq lists it as uncharacterized. The record is from RefSeq and is a predicted model, not a curated record. The transcript is spliced from 3 exons. Lineage: Eukaryota; Metazoa; Arthropoda; Insecta; Lepidoptera; Nymphalidae.
CCUAAGAAGAAGGCUUACAAUUGGCAAAGGCAAAAAAUCCGAAUGUUUGUUCUUAUUUCUACGUUCCUGAACUUAAUGUUACAUCUCCAUAUCAAAACAAAAGGGAAACGAAAGCGAAACAAAAAGUAAAACAAGAAAAGAAGUUCUCUAUACACGUCAAACUCACAUUAAUGUCUGAACACACAUCCUGUCCGGCAAUUGGCCGGUUCAUUGACACUCGACGUAGCGAAAAUGGCCGCAUUUAUUUACGUAUCAAGUUCUCGAGUAAAAAAAGUAUGAGAUUAGGUUAUUUUAAAAGAAUGGUUUAUUUGAUAUUUUAUGACAAAUAUGUUAACAUUUUUG